This 81-nucleotide transfer RNA is filed under the name Candidatus Chlorohelix allophototropha. RNAcentral's name for it is "tRNA-Leu". It matches the Rfam family "tRNA". Rfam says of the family: Transfer RNA (tRNA) molecules are approximately 80 nucleotides in length. Lineage: Bacteria; Bacillati; Chloroflexota; Chloroflexia; Candidatus Chloroheliales; Candidatus Chloroheliaceae. The record is from RNAcentral. RNAcentral also lists the same sequence under 1 other name.
GGGCUAGUGGCGGAAUGGCAGACGCGAGCGACUUAAAAUCGCUUGAGGAAACUCGUGUGGGUUCGACUCCCACCUGGCCCA